Molecule: ribosomal RNA, 129 nt
Organism: Mustela putorius furo (domestic ferret)
Lineage: Eukaryota; Metazoa; Chordata; Mammalia; Carnivora; Mustelidae
Source: Ensembl
GUCUAUGGCCAUACCACCCUGAACGCGCCUGAUCUCGUCUGAUCUCGGAAGCUAAGCAGGGUCGGGCCUGUUUAGUACUUGGAUGGGAGAAAUCUCCUGGGUCUUGUGAGACAAAGGCAGCUUCAGGAU